GCAAACUUGGUCAUUUAGAGGAAGUAAAAGUCGUAACAAGGUUUCCGUAGGUGAACCUGCGGAAGGAUCAUUAAAAUAUUCGGGUCCCCCCACCGAGGGGUAAAAUUCCUGUGCACCUCCGACCCUCGCGUCCUUCCCCUUCGGAGGGUGCGUGUUGCGGUCCGGCGCGUUCACUUUACCACCCUUUGUGAAACUUCCACCUUUGCUUCGGCAGCACCGAGAGGGAUAACCGGUCGGGUAAGGCUGCCAGAAGCCCACGGUAAAACCAGUUGAUGAAAUGUCAUGCCGUCUGAUGCUUUGUUGUUUGAGAAAUCAAAUCAUGUUAAAACUUUCAGCAACGGAUCUCUUGGUUCCCGCAUCGAUGAAGAACGCAGC
RNAcentral lists this unclassified non-coding RNA (375 nucleotides) under uncultured fungus. Its description in RNAcentral is "partial contains small subunit ribosomal RNA, internal transcribed spacer 1, and 5.8S ribosomal RNA". The stretch from base 1 to 73 matches the Rfam family "Eukaryotic small subunit ribosomal RNA", at positions 1759 to 1831 of the family's 1831-position model. Lineage: Eukaryota; Fungi. The record is from RNAcentral.